Molecule: long non-coding RNA, 1203 nt
Filed under: Homo sapiens (human)
Lineage: Eukaryota; Metazoa; Chordata; Mammalia; Primates; Hominidae
Description: non-protein coding lnc-ZSWIM6-5:2
Source: RNAcentral
ACGUUUGCCUGAGCAUACUCCCAGCCUCCCAGGGCCCCUUCUGUGUGCCCUGCCUCUGAUUGCAAGUGCAGAGAGCAGUUCUCCCAAGAGCCAGGGCUCAGCUCACCCCUGCAGGUAACGCAGACCUCUGCUAGGGAUCAGCUGUCUAUCAUCUGGUGGCGCCCCUCUUUCCAGCCAGCGCUACAUCUUCAUAUGCCUUUUCUUACCAACAGGUCAGCAAUGUGGGUGACAGAUACUUCUUUUUGCUGUUGGAACACUUCAUAUUCAUCUCUGGUAUUGUCAUGGCCUUUGACAUACCUUACCAACAAGAGAGGUUUGUUGACUGAUGACAGCAGGUAUAACAAAAUCUAACUAGUGACAGUUGUAAGAAUUGGCAAAGUAUUACUGCAUCAACAGGUAUGUGGACUGUCUAAGAGCCUCAGAAAGGACAAAGAAAGAAGCUUACAGAUUCCGAUGCCCCUUACUACUGUAUCUGGCCUUUCUCCUGCCGGUAUAGUGAGAGUUGACAGUUUGAUGGAUUUAAUUUAGGAUCUAUGUUAGGAUGAGAUGCACUCUGUUUUCCUAAACAAAUUUGCUGCAGAAUGGCAGCCACAGUCUAGGGCCUCCUUGAGCUUGAGGCUAAAUGACCUGAUGGCCCACCCACUUCAUCUAUACUGCCUUUAAUAUGUCAGCAUUUCCUCAAGGCCUGGGUUUCGUGCACUCAGGGUGAUAUUGAACAUGAAGUUUUCAAACAGCAAUACCUUGGGUAACAGACAAGGGCUAGUUAAUGAUCUCAUUCAUAAUUCAUCCCGUGAAGGAACCAUUUACACUCAAACUCCAAGCAGGAAGAAAAUAUUCCCAUUAGGUAGGGCUUUUUAAAUGCCUCUGCCUUUGCCACAGUGCUGAGAGAGAACUGUGGUCUUCAGUAGUAAGGGCAUAUGGCUGCAAACAGAGUGCCCAGGUUAGAGACACCAAGAGCUGCAGCAUCACUCAGUAAUAGCUAUUUCAGAGGGAUGUAAAGCCUUCCCUGGGAAAAAGUUGAAUAGGACUCAGUGCCUAAACACAGCACUUUCAAAAAGAAAUGAAUCUCUAAUUAAACAUCCUGAAGACAGAAGCUGACAUGUCAUUGCAGAGCUAAUAAUAAGACCUCAUGAAAUGUUCAAAAGUUCUCCAGAGUAAGUGUGAACAAUUACAUUUCCCUCUCUCCAUCAGUGAAGGGUUACC